CUUUGCUCAGAGCAAACUCCGGGAAACCGGGGGGCGCAGAGCUCCGAGGCUACCUAAGACAGAACGUAUGCAUCGCAUGAUCAAUGCCAAUCAUCGCUUUCCGUGCGACAAAAGUUCUGGAUUACAGGCCGGUCGAGCCGCCAAA
This 145-nucleotide non-coding RNA is filed under the name Nitrospirota bacterium. Its description in RNAcentral is "Nitrospirae bacterium c-di-GMP sequence". It matches the Rfam family "c-di-GMP-I riboswitch aptamer". From Rfam's summary of the family: GEMM was predicted in a large-scale screen for bacterial structured RNA regulatory elements. Genes associated with GEMM are involved in a diverse array of functions, including chemotaxis regulation, signal transduction, secretion and chitin. Lineage: Bacteria; Pseudomonadati; Nitrospirota. The record is from RNAcentral.